UGGCGAGCCAGCGGCCCUCGUCGAAGGGGAUGAGAGCACCAUUACCGUCGCGGUAGGGCAUGGCUAGGAUGCGAAUGACAGCCUUCUUGGGAGAGCCGUUGUUGUUCUGCACCUUGAUCUGGUAAGAGAACUCCUUGUGGUUGAGACGAGGUGUGGAGGCGUAGAUGUCGAAGAACUCGGUUUCAGUGUUGUUGUCAUUGAAAGCGUUGACCAAGUCCCACUUGUACUCCUCAAAGUAGGUUUCGAGGGUGCCCUGGAUCUGGACGUCGGUGACGGCAAUUCCGGUGAACUCGAGCUGUUCCUUGGUGUAAGGAGGAAGAGAGUCAAUGUGCUUCCUGAAGAUGUUGUCGAUGCGCUU
This is a long non-coding RNA of Eriocheir sinensis (Chinese mitten crab), 358 nucleotides long. RefSeq lists it as uncharacterized. Lineage: Eukaryota; Metazoa; Arthropoda; Malacostraca; Decapoda; Varunidae. The record is from RefSeq and is a predicted model, not a curated record. The transcript is spliced from 2 exons.